AUUGAACGCUGGCGGCAUGCCUUACACAUGCAAGUCGAACGGUAACAGGUCUUCGGAUGCUGACGAGUGGCGAACGGGUGAGUAAUACAUCGGAACGUGCCUAGUAGUGGGGGAUAACUACUCGAAAGAGUGGCUAAUACCGCAUGAGAUCUACGGAUGGAAGCAGGGGAUCGCAAGACCUUGUGCUACUAGAGCGGCCGAUGGCAGAUUAGGUAGUUGGUGGGAUAAAAGCUAACAAAGCCGACGAUCUUCAGACGGGCUGAGAGGACAAUCACAGACAGUGGUACUGAAACACGGGCCAGAAUCCUACGGGAGGCAGAAGUGGGGAAUUUUGGACAUUGGACGAAAGCUUGCUCCAGCAUUGCCGCGUGCAGGAUGAGGGCCUUCGGGUUGUAAACUGCUUUUGUACGGAACGAAAAGCCCCGGGUUAAUACCCUGGGGUCAUGACGGUACCGUAAGAAUAAGCACCGGCUAACUACGUGCCAGCCGCCGCCGUAA
This 498-nucleotide ribosomal RNA is filed under the name uncultured bacterium. RNAcentral's name for it is "partial 16S ribosomal RNA". It matches the Rfam family "Bacterial small subunit ribosomal RNA", at positions 30 to 523 of the family's 1533-position model. The record is from RNAcentral.